GGGCAAUUAGCUCAGUUGGAUAGAGUGUCAGCCUCCGGAGCUGAAGGUCACAGGUUCGAAUCCUGUAUUGCCCGCCA
Molecule: transfer RNA, 77 nt
Filed under: Marinifilum sp. JC120
Lineage: Bacteria; Pseudomonadati; Bacteroidota; Bacteroidia; Marinilabiliales; Marinifilaceae
Also listed under: 1 other name
Description: tRNA-Arg
Rfam family: tRNA
About the family: Transfer RNA (tRNA) molecules are approximately 80 nucleotides in length.
Source: RNAcentral